This is a small nuclear RNA of Apodemus sylvaticus (European woodmouse), 104 nucleotides long. The record is from RefSeq and is a predicted model, not a curated record. NCBI's taxonomy places the organism in Eukaryota, Metazoa, Chordata, Mammalia, Rodentia, Muridae.
AGUUGCUUCAGCAGCACCUUACUAAAACUGGAAGGAUACAGGGAAAAUUAGCAUGGCCUCUGUGCAAAGAUGAAAUGCAAAUCCACAAAGAAUUUUAUAAUAAA